This 75-nucleotide transfer RNA is filed under the name Phycisphaerae bacterium. Its description in RNAcentral is "tRNA-His". It matches the Rfam family "tRNA". Rfam says of the family: Transfer RNA (tRNA) molecules are approximately 80 nucleotides in length. Their secondary structure includes four short double-helical elements and three loops (D, anti-codon, and T loops). Further hydrogen bonds mediate the characteristic L-shaped molecular structure. tRNAs have two regions of fundamental functional importance: the anti-codon, which is responsible for specific mRNA codon recognition, and the 3' end, to which the tRNAs corresponding amino acid is attached (by aminoacyl-tRNA synthetases). tRNAs cope with the degeneracy of the genetic code in two manners: having more than one tRNA (with a specific anti-codon) for a particular amino acid; and 'wobble' base-pairing, i.e. permitting non-standard base-pairing at the 3rd anti-codon position. Lineage: Bacteria; Pseudomonadati; Planctomycetota; Phycisphaerae. The record is from RNAcentral. RNAcentral also lists the same sequence under 1 other name.
GUGGAAGUAGCUCAGUUUGGUUAGAGCAUCAGAUUGUGGUUCUGAGGGUCGGGGGUUCGAAUCCCCUCUUCCACC